UACAGAGGUCUCAAGCGUUGUUCGGAUUCAUUGGGCGUAAAGCGUGCGUAGACGGUUAUGUAAGUCGGGUGUGAAAGCCCGGGGCUCAACCCCGGGAGGCGGGUGGAUACUGUCAAGCUCGAGUCCGGAAGAGGAGUGUGGAAUUCCUGGUGUAGCGGUGAAAUGCGCAGAUAUCAGGAGGAACACCAAUGGCGAAGGCAGCACUCUGGGACGUGACUGACGCUGAGACGCGAAAGCGUGGGGGGCAAACAGG
Molecule: ribosomal RNA, 253 nt
Filed under: uncultured bacterium
Lineage: Bacteria
Description: partial 16S ribosomal RNA
Rfam family: Bacterial small subunit ribosomal RNA
Source: RNAcentral